RNAcentral lists this microRNA precursor (75 nucleotides) under Myotis davidii. Its description in RNAcentral is "mir-9229 microRNA precursor family". It matches the Rfam family "mir-9229 microRNA precursor family". Lineage: Eukaryota; Metazoa; Chordata; Mammalia; Chiroptera; Vespertilionidae. The record is from Rfam by way of RNAcentral.
GAGACACCCUAGGGAGCAGGACUUGCUUCAGUGAGGCUUUGGUGCUCGCUGAGUCUGCCUCUUGAGUGUGUUGCU